CUGCUACAGAGAUUAUUUUCACUUCCAGUUCCUUUAAACUGUUUCUCUUGUAACAGGACCCAGGCCCAAGAGGUGUUGAACAUUUCUGAUGAGGAAUCAGGUACCUUCAACAUUAUGUGACUGCAGAGUGCACCCUGAAGCAGCUGAAACAAUAUUUGUAUGGACAGCAUGAAAAGCAUGAACAGCCACCAGCUACUUUUCUUGGUCUGGAACAUCUCACAUAUCAAAAUGCCUCAUGAGACAAGCAGGAAGAAGAGUGAAAAAGCAGUUUGAGCCACUGGAUAUCAGGCAGCAUGGUUGCUGUGCUAAUGAAAAUUUGGAACACCAUUGCAAACUGGAGUGUUUGGCAGAAGCAGGAAUUUCUCUGUGCUGUUUACGAGGUAUAUAA
Molecule: long non-coding RNA, 388 nt
Filed under: Parus major (Great Tit)
Lineage: Eukaryota; Metazoa; Chordata; Aves; Passeriformes; Paridae
Description: lncRNA (ENSPMJG00000007830.1)
Source: RNAcentral